Long non-coding RNA from Nomascus leucogenys (northern white-cheeked gibbon), 1039 nucleotides. RefSeq lists it as uncharacterized. NCBI's taxonomy places the organism in Eukaryota, Metazoa, Chordata, Mammalia, Primates, Hylobatidae. The record is from RefSeq and is a predicted model, not a curated record. The transcript is spliced from 2 exons.
CCCCAACCUGGGGGUGUUGGGGAAAUGACAUGGAAACUGCACAUGUGAGUUUGUGGCUCAGUGGAGACUUGGGUGAAAUAACUGGUUAAUUACUAGGUCCUGGGGUGCGUCACAAAACCCAGAAGCCUUCCCCAGAAUUGAUGAGCCACCCAGGGCCUUUCCUUUCUUUCUUUUCUUUUUUUUUGGGAGCGGAAGUCUUGCUAUGUUGCCCAGCCUGGUCUCGAACUCCUGGCCUCAAGUGAUCCUCUAGCCUCAGCCUCCCAAAGCACUGGGAUUACAGGUGUGUGCCAUGGCAACUGACUCUGACAACCAAGCUCUAUGAAUGAACAGCAGCGACACUCCUGCUGAGACCACCCAGACUUGGCCUCCCUCGAGCAUCCAGUGAACCCUCUGGAGCACAGAACAUCUAAGGAAGAAGACUUUGGAGGAGGAGGGGAGAGUGCAGGGACCACCUCUUCCUCACCCAGCUGAGCAGGUCACCCUUCCUCUUGGUCAGCCCGCACAGAUCAGGGAGAGGGCUGAAGGAGGCUGCCCCAUGGCCUGCAGACCAGACACUUGCAAAGGGGAGAAAAGCAAAGGCACGGGGUGAUGCAGCAGGGCUGAAGCCGAGUCCUGCUCUUCCUGCUCCAGCAGCAAAGUGGACCCCUCCCAUCAAUGCAGUGGGUGUCAGUGGGUACAAAACACAGCCUUCCCCACCUAGGAGCUGGGCCACAAGUCAGAUGGGCUCAUUUGUGGCAUCAGCUUGAAACUCCAUCAGAAUCUCAAUUUCUCUCCUGCAUCCAGACUGGGACUAUGGUGCUGGAGAGGCUGUCCUGCCCUUGUCUCCAUCCCGGAGUUCCAGCUACUCUGUGACCCCCAGAAGUGGCCGGUGGUGCAGGUUGUACUAGUGGGUCUCUGCUCCCAGUCUCUUCUCUGUGCCCGCCGUGGUGGCCUACUGGGAUGGCACAGAGAGCUUUUCUUUCGGUUGCAGAACAGCCUGGAACAUGACAUGCUAGAUCAAUGUCCAUACACAUCCACAGAAAUAAAUGAAUGUUCCCUC